UACGUAGGGGGCAAGCGUUGUCCGGAAUCAUUGGGCGUAAAGAGCGUGUAGGCGGCCUGAUAAGUCGGUUGUGAAAGUCAAGGGCUCAACCCUUGAAUGCCGGCCGAUACUGUCAGGCUAGAGUCCGGAAGAGGCGAGUGGAAUUCCUGGUGUAGCGGUGAAAUGCGCAGAUAUCAGGAGGAACACCGAUGGCGAAGGCAGCUCGCUGGGACGGUACUGACGCUGAGACGCGAAAGCGUGGGGAGCAAACAGG
Molecule: ribosomal RNA, 253 nt
Filed under: uncultured bacterium
Lineage: Bacteria
Description: partial 16S ribosomal RNA
Rfam family: Bacterial small subunit ribosomal RNA
Source: RNAcentral